Molecule: ribosomal RNA, 333 nt
Filed under: uncultured bacterium
Lineage: Bacteria
Description: bacterial SSU rRNA
Rfam family: Bacterial small subunit ribosomal RNA
Source: RNAcentral
AGAGUUUGAUUCUGGCUCAGGAUGAACGCUAGCGGCAGGCUUAACACAUGCAAGUCGAGGGGCAGCGGGUUUGUAGCAAUACAGAUGCCGGCGACCGGCGCAAGGGUGCGUAACGCGUGAGCAACAUGCCCGUCUCAGGAGAAUAACCCGGAGAAAUCCGGCCUAAUGCUCCAUGGCUCUGUUGGGAGGCAUCUUCCGGCAGAUAAAGAUACGUCGGAGACGGAUUGGCUCGCGUGACAUUAGCUUGACGGCGGGGUAACGGCCCACCGUGGCAACGAUGUCUAGGGGAACUGAGAGGUUGGUCCCCCACACUGGAACUGAGACACGGUCCAG